Long non-coding RNA from Argiope bruennichi, 884 nucleotides. RefSeq lists it as uncharacterized. NCBI's taxonomy places the organism in Eukaryota, Metazoa, Arthropoda, Arachnida, Araneae, Araneidae. The transcript is spliced from 3 exons. The record is from RefSeq and is a predicted model, not a curated record.
AUUUCUAAGUCGAUUUACUUGAUGUUUUUUCGGAAAUGUUUUAUCUUUAUUGAUCAUUAUGCUAAAUAUUUACUAUCCUGAGACUUGUUGGCAAGGCUGCUAUCCCAUCAUAGAUUAUUUGUUCACUUUCAAAAUUACUUGCAAGAAAAACUACGAGUUAGUGACGGCUUCAUCCAUAGAAUUUCCAAAUUCCUUAUCCAUAAUUGGAGGAGCAAAAUUUCAAAGGAAUAGCCGGUCAUUGAAUAUGAAGAUCUAGAUGUCGUUCAAGGCUUCUCUUAUCCUCGAUAAAGUCGUGCAUCUUGUCAAUUCUUCAGUGUUCUAAAAUCUCCAAUUAGCCAGUUGGAUGGGAGAACUUUAUGUAUUGAAGCCCUUUUAUAUGCUUGGAUUUUGGAAAUAGUCUUGGCACAAUACUUUGCUUAUUAUCAUGGCACGACAGGUGGACUUGACAACAAGAAUUCAAGUAUUUAACUUUCUCUAUAGAAGAAUAAGUUUCUUACAAUUGUAAACUAUCUAAAAUUAAUUUUAAUUAAAAUGGCUAGAUUCUGUACCAUCAUGCAGGGAACUUCAAUACAUUUUGUAGCAAAAUUUCCAAAUUCUUAAUAUCUUUAAAAUUUUUCUGUUAAGUUAGAAUUAUUUCGAAUGAAACGGACAAACUAUCGAAGCCAUAUACUCUUUAUGGCAGUUGGUCUCUAACAUUUUAUUACCAAACCUCGUGUUGUCGGAAUCGGAAACUGUAAAUCCGAUUCUAAUCUCCUAAACUAUCCAUUAAACCUCUAAACGAAAGAUCCUUCGUAUUCUUUUUAACAUGCUUCAGAUAUAAUACCUGAAAUUCUUGUAACAGAUCCACAAAAUCCUUUGUCUGAAAUUCAACUAGUGCGGCUAUU